This 478-nucleotide ribosomal RNA is filed under the name uncultured bacterium. RNAcentral's name for it is "partial 16S ribosomal RNA". It matches the Rfam family "Bacterial small subunit ribosomal RNA", at positions 28 to 523 of the family's 1533-position model. The record is from RNAcentral.
GACGAACGCUGGCGGCGUGCUUAACACAUGCAAGUCGAACGGUAAGGCCCUUCGGGGUACACGAGUGGCGAACGGGUGAGUAACACGUGGGUGAUCUGCCCUGCACUUCGGGAUAAGCCUGGGAAACUGGGUCUAAUACCGGAUAGGACUCCGGACUGCAUGGUCUGGGGUGGAAAGCUUUUGCGGUGUGGGAUGGGCCCGCGGCCUAUCAGCUUGUUGGUGGGGUGAUGGCCUACCAAGGCGACGACGGGUAGCCGGCCUGAGAGGGUGACCGGCCACACUGGGACUGGGAUACUGCCCAGACUCCUACGGGAGGCAGCAGUGGGGAAUAUUGCACAAUGGGCGCAAGCCUGAUGCAGCGACGCCGCGUGAGGGAUGACGGCCUUCGGGUCGUAAACCUCUUUCAGCAUCGACGAAGCGAAAGUGACGGUAGGUGCAGAAGAAGGACCGGCCAACUACGUGCCAGCCGCCGCCGUAA